RNAcentral lists this ribosomal RNA (460 nucleotides) under uncultured marine microorganism. RNAcentral describes it as "bacterial SSU rRNA". It matches the Rfam family "Bacterial small subunit ribosomal RNA", at positions 355 to 830 of the family's 1533-position model. The record is from RNAcentral.
UGGGGAAUUUUCCGCAAUGGGCGAAAGCCUGACGGAGCAAUACCGCGUGAGGGAGGAAUGCCUUUGGGUUGUAAAUCUCUUUUCUCAGGGAAGAAGAUCUGACGGUACCUGAGGAAUAAGUAUCGGCUAACUCCGUGCCAGCAGCCGCGGUAAUACGGAGGAUGCAAGCGUUAUCCGGAAUCAUUGGGCGUAAAGCGUCCGCAGGUGGUUUCCAAAGUCUGCUGUUAAAGACUGGAGCUCAACUCCGGAACGGCGGUGGAAACUUGGAAACUAGAGUUCGGUAGGGGUAGCAGGAAUUCCCAGUGUAGCGGUGAAAUGCGUAGAUAUUGGGAAGAACAUCAGUGGCGAAGGCGUGCUACUGGACCGUAACUGACACUCAGGGACGAAAGCUAGGGGAGCGAAAGGGAUUAGAUACCCCUGUAGUCCUAGCUGUAAACGAUGGAAACUAGGUGUGGCUUGA